Molecule: ribosomal RNA, 260 nt
Filed under: uncultured bacterium
Lineage: Bacteria
Description: partial 16S ribosomal RNA
Rfam family: Bacterial small subunit ribosomal RNA
Source: RNAcentral
GCAAGUCGAACGAGAGCGACCGGUGCUUGCACUGGUCAAUCUAGUGGCGAACGGGUGAGUAACACGUGGGUAACCUGCCCAUCAGAGGGGGAUAACAUUCGGAAACGGAUGCUAAAACCGCAUAGGUUCUUUAGUCGCAUGACUGAAGAAGGAAAAGAGGCUUCGGCUUCUGCUGAUGGAUGGACCCGCGGUGCAUUAGCUAGUUGGUGAGGUAACGGCUCACCAAGGCGAUGAUGCAUAGCCGACCUGAGAGGGUGAUC